Molecule: ribosomal RNA, 164 nt
Filed under: Rhodiola chrysanthemifolia
Lineage: Eukaryota; Viridiplantae; Streptophyta; Magnoliopsida; Saxifragales; Crassulaceae
Description: 5.8S ribosomal RNA
Rfam family: 5.8S ribosomal RNA
About the family: 5.8S ribosomal RNA (5.8S rRNA) is a component of the large subunit of the eukaryotic ribosome. It is transcribed by RNA polymerase I as part of the 45S precursor that also contains 18S and 28S rRNA.
Source: RNAcentral
AUAACGACUCUCGGCAACGGAUAUCUCGGCUCUCGCAUCGAUGAAGAACGUAGCAAAAUGCGAUACUUGGUGUGAAUUGCAGAAUCCCGUGAAUCAUCGAGUUUUUGAACGCAAGUUGCGCCCGAAGCCCUUAGGCCGAGGGCACGUCUGCCUGGGCGUCACGU